ACUUUCUUUUUCUAUUUUUUUUUAUUUAUUUAAAUGUUUUUUUCUGAUUAAAAGAAAAAUAAAAAAGGAUCUCUCUAUAUAUAUCUCUCUCUCUCUUAAUAAUCAACAAUCCAAACACCCCACCAUCGAUCAAAGUUGCUGCUUCCUCCCUCUGCUGUCCCCAUCUCCGUUCACUUCCUUUCUCAUCGAUGAGCAUCAGAACAAUACACAACAGGCAGUUGGGAACGCUGCCUGCGACCACCAUCUUAACCCACCUCCUCAUUCGAAUACCAUAACCCCUCCAUCACCGGUACGUGUCACCUCUCACUCUCUCCACUCGUUGUUCACAACCGAAGAAGAUGAAGGAAGAGGAAAAGUUGCCACCGAUCGAUGUUGUCGUCGUGAGUUCAAUCACCAUCGGCUGCCAUCGUCGCCUCUCACUGCUGCUGGGGAAGUUGCAACGGCCACCACUACUACCUUGCUGUUGUUUUCGAUCACUAACAACCCCUUACUCCUCCUUCCUCUCCCUCUCCUUUGCUAUCGGAAGAAGAGAAACGGGGCAGCUAGAGCCAGCGCUAUAAUCACCAAACACCCUUUGCCUUAUCGCCACCAUUAACUCCGACCACCACCACCUGCUGCUAUGUUUGAUCCACCUCCUACCAUCACCAUGUUUUCUCUCCCUAACUCGUGUGUUUACCCGACCUGCUAUGCUAUUUUCGAUCUGCUUCACCCUCCCCUGUUCUUCGUGUUUUCUGCUGAACAGAAGAGAGACAGUCGAGAUCGAUGACUACUGUUGCUGCUUUUCUUCAAUUGGAUCUUCGUCUUAUGAAAUUUGAUCACUUUUUCCUAAAUGGGUCUUCAUCUUAUCAAAUUAAAACCGAGAUCGUUGGCGAUUUGAAACUAUUUAUCAUGGAUCUGGAAACUAGGUCUCGUCAAAAUCAUUUAAUGUUCCUUUCGCCAGGAGAGUGUUGUCGCCGACACUUGAAGAUGAAAUCGAAUAGGCGAGAAGUCGUUUCCAGGUCUCUGUCAAAUGAAAUCGAAGAGGCGGGAGAGCAUCAAUGAUUCUCCAGAUCUCUGGUAUAAUCACAAAUUAGGUUUGAGUGUUUGUGACAACACAGUAAAGUAAGGAGAGAGAAAGAGAAAGAGAGAGAAAAUCUCAAACCUUUUUGGACCAAGUGACAAUUUUCAGCUAACCACAAGGACCAUUUGUGCA
Molecule: non-coding RNA, 1192 nt
Organism: Lactuca sativa (garden lettuce)
Lineage: Eukaryota; Viridiplantae; Streptophyta; Magnoliopsida; Asterales; Asteraceae
Source: RefSeq, a predicted model, not a curated record